UGGGCAACCUGCCCCAGACACAGGGAUAACCCCGGGAAACCGGGGCUAAUACCGGAUACUCCGGUCGAACCGCAUGGCUCGAUCGGGAAAGCUCCGACGGUCUGGGAUGGGCCCGCGGCCUAUCAGCUUGUUGGUGGGGUAACGGCCUACCAAGGCGACGACGGGUAGCCGGCCUGAGAGGGUGACCGGCCACACCGGGACUGAGACACGGACCAGACUCCUACGGGAG
Molecule: ribosomal RNA, 229 nt
Filed under: uncultured bacterium
Lineage: Bacteria
Description: partial 16S ribosomal RNA
Rfam family: Bacterial small subunit ribosomal RNA
Source: RNAcentral